RNAcentral lists this long non-coding RNA (292 nucleotides) under Apteryx haastii (Great spotted kiwi). Its description in RNAcentral is "lncRNA (ENSAHAG00000012572.1)". The record is from RNAcentral. Lineage: Eukaryota; Metazoa; Chordata; Aves; Apterygiformes; Apterygidae.
UCGUCACGGCUCCGACGGCUCCUCCCGCCGAGGACGCGGUCGGACGUGACGGGGCGGUGAAGUCGCUCCCCUCCUUCCCCCGUUCUCACAACUCCCCAGAGUCGCUGGGGGCGAAUCCGGUUUUCGGGACAACGGAGAUGGGUUUGUCGAUACCGACGCCAAGCUCCAGAAGAUCGUGGCAGCCAUCAAAGCGGCCUUGGCCUAGGAGCAGGGAAAUGUCCUGACGGAUCGUCGCGCAGCAAAGCUUAACGAGCAGCCGCCUCGUUCAAGUCGGCCGAGCGCUCCAUGACGG